Molecule: ribosomal RNA, 334 nt
Filed under: uncultured Bacillota bacterium
Lineage: Bacteria; Bacillati; Bacillota
Description: bacterial SSU rRNA
Rfam family: Bacterial small subunit ribosomal RNA
Source: RNAcentral
GACGAACGCUGGCGGCGUGCCUAAUACAUGCAAGUCGAGCGGAUCUUGAAAAGCUUGCUUUUCAAGAUUAGCGGCGGACGGGUGAGUAACACGUGGGCAACCUGCCUGUAAGACUGGGAUAACACCGGGAAACCGGUGCUAAUACCGGAUAAUCUUUUCCCUCACAUGAGGGAAAACUGAAAGACGGCGCAAGCUGUCACUUACAGAUGGGGCCCGCGGCGCAUUAGCUAGUUGGUGAGGUAACGGCUCACCAAGGCGACGAUGCGUAGCCGACCUGAGAGGGUGAUCGGCCACACUGGGACUGAGACACGGCCCAGACUCCUACGGGUGGCUG